Molecule: long non-coding RNA, 199 nt
Organism: Mytilus californianus (California mussel)
Lineage: Eukaryota; Metazoa; Mollusca; Bivalvia; Mytilida; Mytilidae
Exons: 4
Source: RefSeq, a predicted model, not a curated record
UCAAUAAACCUGUUUUCAUGUUCAUUUUCCUUUUAGACACUAACGGGAAUACAGUUGGCGACAGAUUACAUGCAGAUUUUCCUGACAGACAGAGACGAUCCCUCAAGCACAAAGUCUUAGCCAGGGAUAAAAGAGGUGACACAAUACCGAAUCCUUUUGGUAAUCCAAGCAUCGGAAAAGGCAGUUAAGAAGAUAAGAG